RNAcentral lists this ribosomal RNA (455 nucleotides) under uncultured Bacteroides sp. RNAcentral's name for it is "partial 16S ribosomal RNA". It matches the Rfam family "Bacterial small subunit ribosomal RNA", at positions 341 to 792 of the family's 1533-position model. The record is from RNAcentral. Lineage: Bacteria; Pseudomonadati; Bacteroidota; Bacteroidia; Bacteroidales; Bacteroidaceae.
ACGGGAGGCAGCAGUGAGGAAUAUUGGUCAAUGGGCGAGAGCCUGAACCAGCCAAGUAGCGUGAAGGAUGACUGCCCUACGGGUUGUAAACUUCUUUUGCCGGGGGAUAAAAAACGGGACGUGUCCCGUCUUGCAGGUACCCGUGCGAAUAAGGACCGGCUAAUUCCGUGCCAGCAGCCGCGGUAAUACGGAAGGUCCGAGCGUUAUCCGGAUUUAUUGGGUUUAAAGGGUGCGUAGGCGGGAUGGUAAGUCAGUGGUGAAAGUUUGCGGCUCAACCGUAAAAUUGCCGUUGAAACUGCCGUUCUUGAGUGCGAGCGAGGUAGGCGGAAUGUGCCGUGUAGCGGUGAAAUGCAUAGAUAUGGUACAGAACUCCGAUUGCGAAGGCAGCCUACCAGUACGCUACUGACGCUGAGGCACGAAAGCGUGGGUAUCGAACAGGAUUAGAUACCCUGGUA